AUUGAACGCUGGCGGCAGGCUUAACACAUGCAAGUCGAGCGGUAACAGAGAGAAGCUUGCUUCUCUGCUGACGAGCGGCGGACGGGUGAGUAAUGCCUAGGAAUCUGCCUAGUAGUGGGGGAUAACUUGCUGAAAGGUAAGCUAAUACCGCAUACGUCCUACGGGAGAAAGGAGGGGACCUUCGGGCCUUUCGCUAUUAGAUGAGCCUAGGUCGGAUUAGUUAGUUGGUGAGGUAAUGGCUCACCAAGACCGCGAUCCGUAACCUGGUCUGAGAGGAUGAUCAGUCACACUGGAACUGAGACACGGUCCAGACUCCUACGGGAGGCAGCAGUGGGGAAUAUUGGACAAUGGGGGGAACCCUGAUCCAGCCAUGCCGCGUGUGUGAAGAAGGUCUUAGGAUUGUAAAGCACUUUAAGUUGGGAGGAAGAGCAGUUAACUAAUAUUUGACUGUUUUGACGUUACCGACAGAAUAAGCACCGGCUAACUUCGUGCCAGCAGCCGCAGUAA
Molecule: ribosomal RNA, 507 nt
Filed under: uncultured bacterium
Lineage: Bacteria
Description: partial 16S ribosomal RNA
Rfam family: Bacterial small subunit ribosomal RNA
Source: RNAcentral